Molecule: ribosomal RNA, 301 nt
Filed under: uncultured bacterium
Lineage: Bacteria
Description: partial 16S ribosomal RNA
Rfam family: Bacterial small subunit ribosomal RNA
Source: RNAcentral
CAGUCGCCGCGGGAAAACGUAGGGGGCAAGCGUUAUCCGGAUUUACUGGGUGUAAAGGGAGCGCAGACGGCCAAGCAAGUCUGAAGUGAAAUGCAUGGGCUCAACCCAUGAAUUGCUUUGGAAACUGUUAGGCUUGAGUGUCGGAGGGGUAAGCGGAAUUCCUAGUGUAGCGGUGAAAUGCGUAGAUAUUAGGAGGAACACCGGAGGCGAAGGCGGCUUACUGGACGACAACUGACACUGAGGCACGAAAGCGUGGGGAGCAAACAGGAUUAGAUACCCCAGUAGUCCCUGUCUCUUAUAC